This 1179-nucleotide long non-coding RNA is filed under the name Vulpes vulpes (red fox). RNAcentral describes it as "lncRNA (ENSVVUG00000003125.1)". Lineage: Eukaryota; Metazoa; Chordata; Mammalia; Carnivora; Canidae. The record is from RNAcentral.
GAGCACCCAGGGGGACCCGCAGAAGCGCGAGCGACGGCCCCGACCCCCGCGACCCCCGCGACCCCCGCGACCCCGUGCCCCAGGCAGGGCGGCUGGGGGUGGGGUGGGCCCAGAGGGACGGAAGCCGUUUCUUCUCUGGAGGAGCGUCCAGGCCGUUCGAGGGAUGGAGGCCCGAGACCCCAGGGGGCCGUGCGCUCCCGUGUAGGGGUGAAGCCUUCCCCGUGGCCCCGCAGACGCAGGCGUCGGUACUCUGCUGAAGCCGUCGGCUGCAGAAACUGCACUGCGAACUGUUGCGUUUCCAAAAAUCAGUAUCGUUGUCGGAUGACUUACAUUUUCCGAUAUGUUUUCAUCUGCAAUACUUAUAUAUUUUUAAAUAUUUUCCUUUACUUAUUUGAGAGAGAGAGAGAGAGCGAGAGAGAGAGCGCUCAAGCAGGAAGAGCAGCAGAGUGAAAGGGAGAAGCAGACUUCCUGCUGAGCAGGGGCUCGAUCCCAGGACCCUGAGACCAUGACCUAAACUGAAGACAGACCUUCACCGACAGAGCCACCCAGGCACCCCUCAUCUUCAAUAUUUAAAGUGGUCUCCGUAACAAUUCAGUGAAUGAAGUCGGGGUAACCGUUAAUAUUCCCAUUUUAUAGAUCAGAAAACUCAAGUCUCCUGGCCAGCCCGUGGCAAAAAUUAUAGUAAAAAAAAAAAAUGAGCGAUUUCAAUUCUAGUCUAGGAUUCUUUUUCCUCCCACACAACUGGCCAUAUUCUAUGACUACGGUCGUCUGACUUCGGCUGAAUGAGGAUCAUUUAGAAGGCGUGUGGCAGCACAGAGAGCGGGCCCCACCUCCGGCCUUUGUGGUUGGGUAGGCCGGGGAUGCAGCCCAAGGAUGUUCUCAUUCGUACCAUGGCCUCUCCACUUUUCCCCUGGCCUUCCCCUCCCUUCUCAGCCUCCCUUGCAGCUAAGGAUGGUCACGGGACAUAGUUUUGGCCAAUGAGGUGUAAAUGGAAGCUUUCUGGGAAAACCUGUGCUUUCCUGAUGACAAGACACAUACUUGCCUCUUCACCCUUCCUACCUCUUCCUUAGAACUUCUAUGUUCCGCCCAUCGUAGGACCAACUCAUUGAAACCAGCGGGAUAGGGAGAUGGGAGGAAGCUUCACGUCCGACAGGCCUGAGCCACUUACCCACAGGCUUC